This 317-nucleotide unclassified non-coding RNA is filed under the name fungal sp. Its description in RNAcentral is "partial internal transcribed spacer region". The stretch from base 1 to 46 matches the Rfam family "Eukaryotic small subunit ribosomal RNA", at positions 1786 to 1831 of the family's 1831-position model. The record is from RNAcentral. Lineage: Eukaryota; Fungi.
AAGUCGUAACAAGGUUUCCGUAGGUGAACCUGCGGAAGGAUCAUUAACAAAUCUAUGAGCGAAAGCUCGUCAACCUUUGUGAAUUGGGUUGUAUAGUUGGUAACAAAUAUACAAUUUCGUUGGGGUCCCUUUGUGUAAUAGAAAGAUUAUUUCUAAAGAUUUUCUGAAGAUUAUUUCUAAAGAAUAUUUCUAAAAGAAUAUUUUGAAAGAUUUAAUUUUUUCUAUUGCAUAUAUAUAUUAACAUUGUCUGAUUAUAGAUUGAAGUCGUAAGAUUUCAAAUAAAAAUACAACUUUUAACAAUGGAUCUCUAGGCUCUU